GACGAACGCUGGCGGCGUGCCUAACACAUGCAAGUCUGACGGGAAAGUCUCCUUCGGGAGACCGGUACAGUGGCGGACGGGUGAGUAACGCGUGGGAAUCUACCCGGUAGUGGGGAAUAACCCCCCGAAAGGGGAGCUAAUACCGCAUAAGCCCCAAGGGUAAAGAUGGCCUCUUUCUAAUGCUAUCGCUUCCGGAUGAGCCCGCGUCCUAUUAGCUAGUUGGUGAGGUAAUGGCUUACCAAGGCUACGAUGGUAGCCGGUCUGAGAGGAUGAACGGCCACACUGGGACUGAGACACGGCCCAGACUCCUACGGGAGGCAGCAGUGGGGAAUUUUGCGCAAUGGGGGAAACCCUGACGCAGCAACGCCGCGUGGAUGACGAAGGCCUUCGGGUCGUAAAGUCCUGUUCUGGGAAAGAAGUAAGUAAAGGGCCAAUACCCUUUACCCUGACGUACCCAGCAGAAAGCUCGGCCAAUUAUGUG
This 481-nucleotide ribosomal RNA is filed under the name uncultured bacterium. RNAcentral's name for it is "bacterial SSU rRNA". It matches the Rfam family "Bacterial small subunit ribosomal RNA", at positions 28 to 507 of the family's 1533-position model. The record is from RNAcentral.